AGAAGUUUGGGGAAAAAAGUUUGGAAAAGUUUUUAUAAUAACGAGGGGGCGUCCGGAGGGAGGAGGCCGCGGCGGAGGAGGGGGCGUCUCAGAGAAGGGGAGGGAGGGAGCCACGGGUGAAGAUAACGGCAGCCUCCUGAGCUCCCCCCUCCCAUCCAGACCCGGACCUGGGGGCUCCGGCCGGAUCCAUGGGGGCAGCAAGCUGCGAAGAUGACGAGCUGGAAUUUAAGCUGGUGUUCGGGGAGGAAAAGGAGGCCCCCCCGCUGGGCGCGGGGGGUUCGGGGGAAGAACUGGACUCAGAGGACGCCCCACCAUGCUGCCGUCUGGCCCUGGGGGAGCCCCCUCCCUAUGGCGCUGCCCCUAUUGGCAUUCCCCGGCCUCCACCCCCUCGGCCUGGCAUGCACUCACCACCACCCCGCCCAGCCCCCUCACCUGGCACUUGGGAGAGCCAGCCAGCCCGGUCAGUGAGGCUGGGGGGCCCAGGAGGGGGGUCCGGGGGGGCUGGGGGAAGCCGUGUUCUUGAGUGUCCCAGCAUCCGCAUCACUUCCAUCUCUCCCACGCCGGCCCCGCCUGCCGCGCUGGAGGACAGCCCGGACGUCUGGGGGGAUGGCUCUCCCAGGGAUUACCCCCCACCAGAAGGCUUUGGGGGCUACCGAGAGGCAGGGGGCCAGGGAGGGGGCCCCUUCUUCAGCCCGAGCCCUGGCAGCAGCAGCCUGUCCUCGUGGAGCUUCUUUUCAGACGCUUCCGAUGAGGCAGCUCUGUAUGCCGCCUGCGAUGAGGUGGAGUCCGAGCUAAAUGAGGCUGCCUCCCGCUUCGGCCUGGGCUCUCCACUGCCCUCACCCCGGGCCUCUCCUAGGCCAUGGACCCCAGAUGAUCCCUGGAGCCUGUAUGGUCCCAGCUCUGGAGGCCGGGGGCCAGAGGAUAGCUGGCUACUCCUCAGUGCUCCUGGGCCCACCCCUGCCUCCCCACGGCCUGCCUCUCCAUGUGGCAAGCGGCGUUAUUCCAGCUCGGGGACCCCAUCUUCAGCCUCCCCAGCUCUGUCCCGCCGUGGCAGUCUCGGGGAGGAGGGGCCUGAGCCCCCUCCACCACCCCCAUUGCCUCUGGCCCGGGAUCCUGGCUCCCCUGGUCCCUUUGACUACGUGGGGGCCCCACCUGCGGAGAGCAUCCCCCAGAAGACCCGGCGGACUUCCAGUGAGCAGGCAGUGGCCCAGCCUCGGUCUGAGGAACCUACCCCCUGCAAUGGGAAGCUGUCUUCUGGAGCAGAGGAGGCCGGGGCUCCCCCUGGGGGUCCUCGGAAGGAAGUGGCUGGCAUGGACUACCUGGCUGUGCCCUCCCCUCUUACUUGGUCCAAGGCCCGGAUUGGGGGACACAGCCCCAUCUUCAGGACCUCUGCCCUACCCCCACUGGACUGGCCUCUGCCCAGCCAGUAUGAGCAGCUGGAGCUGAGGAUCGAGGUGCAGCCUAGAGCCCACCACCGGGCCCACUAUGAGACAGAGGGCAGCCGCGGAGCUGUCAAAGCUGCUCCUGGUGGUCACCCUUUAGUCAAGCUCUUAGGUUACAGUGAGAAGCCCCUGACCCUACAGAUGUUCAUUGGCACUGCAGAUGAAAGGAACCUGAGGCCCCAUGCCUUCUAUCAGGUGCACCGUAUCACAGGAAAGAUGGUGGCCACGGCCAGCUAUGAGGCUGUAGUCAGUGGCACCAAGGUGUUGGAGAUGACUCUGCUUCCUGAGAACAACAUGGCAGCCAACAUUGACUGUGCUGGAAUCCUGAAGCUUCGGAAUUCAGACAUUGAGCUGAGGAAGGGGGAGACGGACAUCGGGCGCAAGAACACACGUGUGCGGCUGGUAUUCCGGGUCCAUGUGCCCCAGGGCAGCGGGAAGGUUGUCUCCGUGCAGACAGCAUCUGUGCCCAUCGAGUGUUCUCAGCGCUCAGCCCAGGAGCUGCCUCAGGUGGAGGCCUACAGCCCCAGUGCCUGCUCUGUGAGAGGAGGAGAGGAACUCGUGCUGACUGGCUCCAACUUCCUGCCAGACUCCAAGGUGGUAUUCAUCGAGAGGGGCCCCGAUGGAAAGCUGCAGUGGGAGGAGGAGGCCACAGUGAACCGGUUGCAGAGCAAUGAGGUCACGCUGACCCUGACUGUCCCUGAGUACAGCAACAAGCGGGUGUCUAGGCCCGUCCAGGCCUACUUUUAUGUUUCCAAUGGACGGAGGAAGCGUAGCCCUACCCAGAGUUUCAAGUUCCUGCCUGUGAUCUUUAAGGAGGAGCCUCUGCCAGAUGCAUCUCUCCGGGGCUUCCCUUCAGCAUCGGGUCCCCCCUUUGGCACUGACAUGGACUUCUCACCACCCCGGCCCCCUUACCCCUCUUAUCCCCAUGAAGACCCUGCUUAUGAAACUCCUUACCUGUCAGAAGGCUUCAGCUAUGGCACACCCCCUCUGUGUCCCCAGACAGGGCCCCCACCAUGCUACAGAUCUGGUCUGCGGUUGUUCCCUGAGACUGGGUGUACUACAGGUUGUUCCCGCCCACCUCCAGUCUCCUUCCUUCCCCGGCCCUUCCCCAGUGAUCCCUAUGGAGGACGGGGCUCCCCUUUUCCCCUGGGGCUGCCAUUCCCUCCUCCAGCCCCCUUCCGGCCUUCCCUGCCUUCAUCCCCACCUCUUGAAGGUCCCUUUCCUUCCCAGAGUGGUGUCCAUGCCCCAUCUGCUGAGGGAUUCAAUGAGGUAGGGCCAAGCUAUGGCCCUGGGGAGGGGGCUCCGGAGCAGGAGAAAUCCAGGGGUGGCUACAGCAGCGGCUUCCGAGACAGUGUCCCUAUCCAGGGUAUCACGCUGGAGGAAGGUGGGUGCGGGACCAAGGGCUGUGAGUGUGAGUGUAUGCACGAGAUCGCUCUGCAUGUUUGCUGAGGGUUAGAGCUUGGCUUCUCAGAGGCUGGGCAUCCUAGUCCCUUGAGGCCAGGUGGAGGGUCUCAGGAGGCAAGUUCUUGGUGUGUGUGGCCACUUGAAUCCAGCUAACUGAAUUCUGAAGGGUGUGUGGAGUACCUGCCCCAAGCCCUUCUCUUGCCUCUGCCCUCUGCCCCAGAUCCCACCAUCUCAGGGCUAGACGGACUGUCAUUCAAUUCAGCUCUUUCAAUUUGCAGAUUCAGACAGUGAGCUUCAGAAAGGGGCAGUGACUUCCUGAGGUCCCAGUCAAGCAUGUUUUCCCUUGCCUCAGCUUUCCCCUACACAUGGUGACUGUGGUCAGGAUUGGUGACAAGGAACCUUUGUGUUAUUCACCUCCUUCCUCCCACUGGCUACACCCACCUCUGGCCCUGCUGACAGCGAAUGCUCUGACACUGCAGGCCGAGCCAGCAGGAAAGGGCUGGGAAGGGGGCCUGGGAGCCCACAUGGAUGUUGUUGAGCAAGAUUUGAUUGGGAGCAGUGAGUGAGAUCAUUGGCCGAGACCUGAGUGGCUUCCCUGCACCUCCUGGAGAAGAGCCUCCUGCCUGAACCAUCGUCUGGCAACCCUACUCCCACCCACCCCCAGCACUGCCCACUUUUCCUUCCUCCUG
Molecule: RNA transcript, 3535 nt
Organism: Manis pentadactyla (Chinese pangolin)
Lineage: Eukaryota; Metazoa; Chordata; Mammalia; Pholidota; Manidae
Gene: NFATC4
Gene name: nuclear factor of activated T cells 4
Exons: 10
Source: RefSeq, a predicted model, not a curated record